Molecule: long non-coding RNA, 1135 nt
Organism: Arvicola amphibius (Eurasian water vole)
Lineage: Eukaryota; Metazoa; Chordata; Mammalia; Rodentia; Cricetidae
Exons: 5
Source: RefSeq, a predicted model, not a curated record
CCCAGAACAAUUGCGGAAUGGAGUAAAUCACUCGAGUCUACUUUCUCUUGACUGGAUUUGGAUCAUAAUGAAGAUGGCUAGUGUUCAUGGAGCAUGCUCACUUAUCACAUGGACUGCAGCAAGGGCAAUGUGGUGAACAGCAUGCUACCCUUCUUACAUUCAUGUGGAUUCUGGGGAUUUGAACUCACAACCUCAUGUCUCUGUGAAAGCACUUUACCCACAGAGCUAUCAUGCUAGCCAUGGUUAAGACAUGCAAGAAAUGUCACCAACAAGAAUAGAGCAUAAGUAUUUUUUCAUCUCUUCAUGAUAACUAGGAUUUAUGCUUAAACUAUUUUAAAUACUAGUUAUUGCCUGUAUGUACUGCUUCAAAUUUGUGAAAUUUAAUCUGACAGAAAAAUAUCUAGCAUGACUCAUUUUCCCUUGCACUGGACAAAGGGUCUGGAACUGAGGCCUGAAUUGUAUCAGAUUGAACAAGAAAUUUGCAAGCAUUGAAGAUGGGUACCUCUUCUAUUGCCAUGGUCCAGACAGUUUCAGAUUUACUACACAUUUUGAAGAGGAGGCAGUGGCCUGUAAAAAGGCUAACUUUCCUCUAGAAAACAGAAAUCUGCCUGACAGAAACAUUUCUCCAGCCUUUCCCAAGCCCUGCUUAUACAGAAAACUUGAUGAAGGAGGAAUCUAUAAGACUUCAAGGAGACACAGUGGAAAGAUAGAAUCAAUAGGAGGCAUCUGUAUUCCUGUCUUGGGAAAUCCAGAGCAAUCAAGACUAAAAACAUGGGAUAGCAGAAGAGGAUUAACUGGAAACUGAGGCCGAGGCCUGAUGCCUGUACUUGAAUCACUGUGCAGUUAUUACAAAAGUCCUGUGGAUUUUUGGAGCUCUGGACAUGUUUGGACUGAAAAAUGACCUUCUACGGACAUCCAGGGAGGCCUGCCCUGCUGUGAGAAGAAUUUCAAAAGGAGCUCGGUUACGAAUUUCAUGUAGAUCACAGUUGCCAAUGAAAACUGCAUAAUGGAGUGGGCUACAAUCCGCCCCAGGUGACAGUCUGGGUCCAGCAAGUGCCUGAACACAGCAGAGUUAGCUGAACCUUCACCUGGCGAUGGAUGGAGAUAAAGACAAAGCCCCGCAUUGGAGCACCGG